This 253-nucleotide ribosomal RNA is filed under the name uncultured bacterium. RNAcentral describes it as "partial 16S ribosomal RNA". It matches the Rfam family "Bacterial small subunit ribosomal RNA", at positions 524 to 776 of the family's 1533-position model. The record is from RNAcentral.
UACGUAGGGGGCAAGCGUUGUCCGGAUUUAUUGGGCGUAAAGAGCGUGUAGGCGGCCUGACAGGUCAGCUGUGAAAACUCGAGGCUCAACCUCGAGACGUCGGUUGAAACCAUCUGGCUAGAGUCCGGAAGAGGAGAGUGGAAUUCCCGGUGUAGCGGUGAAAUGCGCAGAUAUCAGGAAGAACACCCGUGGCGAAGGCGGCUCUCUGGGACGGUACUGACGCUGAGACGCGAAAGCGUGGGGAGCGAACAGG